This 231-nucleotide unclassified non-coding RNA is filed under the name Hevea brasiliensis (rubber tree). The record is from RNAcentral. Lineage: Eukaryota; Viridiplantae; Streptophyta; Magnoliopsida; Malpighiales; Euphorbiaceae.
GAGAAAUAUCACUGGUUUAAACCCUGAAACUACUUUGGUUGUGGUGGUUUCAAAGACUUUUACCACUGCUGAAACUAUGUUAAAUGCUCGGACACUAAGGGAGUGGAUUUCUGCGGCUCUUGGGCCUUCAGCUGUUGCAAAGCAUAUGGUAGCAGUUAGCACAAACCUCCCGCUUGUAGAGAAGUUUGGAAUUGAUCCUAAUAAUGCCUUUGCAUUCUGGGACUGGGUUGG